UGGGGAAUUUUGGACAAUGGGCGCAAGCCUGAUCCAGCCAUGCCGCGUGCGGGAAGAAGGCCUUCGGGUUGUAAACCGCUUUUGUCAGGGAAGAAAUCUUCUGAGUUAAUACCUCGGGAGGAUGACGGUACCUGAAGAAUAAGCACCGGCUAACUACGUGCCAGCAGCAGCGGUAAUACGUAGGGUGCAAGCGUUAAUCGGAAUUACUGGGCGUAAAGCGUGCGCAGGCGGUUUUGUAAGACAGAGGUGAAAUCCCCGGGCUCAACCUGGGAACUGCCUUUGUGACUGCAAGGCUUGAGUGCGGCAGAGGGGGGAUGGAAUUCCGCGUGUAGCAGUGAAAUGCGUAGAUAUGCGGAGGAACACCGAUGGCGAAGGCAAUCCCCUGGGCCUGCACUGACGCCCCAUGCACGGAAGCGUGGGGAGCAAACAGGAUUAGAUACCCUGGUAGUCCACGCCCUAAAACGUGUCAAACUGGUUGUUGGGAAGGUUUCUUCUCAGUAACGUAGCUAACGCGUGAAGUUGGACCGCCUGGGGAGUACGGCCGCAAGG
Molecule: ribosomal RNA, 549 nt
Filed under: uncultured bacterium
Lineage: Bacteria
Description: partial 16S ribosomal RNA
Rfam family: Bacterial small subunit ribosomal RNA
Source: RNAcentral